GGCCAGACUCCUACGGGAGGCAGCAGUGGGGAAUAUUGCACAAUGGGGGAAACCCUGAUGCAGCGACGCCGCGUGAGCGAGGAAGUAUUUCGGUAUGUAAAGCUCUGUCAGCAGGGAAGAAGAAUGACGGUACCUGAAGAAGAAGCACCGGCUAAAUACGUGCCAGCAGCCGCGGUAAUACGUAUGGUGCAAGCGUUAUCCGGAUUUACUGGGUGUAAAGGGAGCGCAGGCGGUUCUGCAAGUCUGAUGUGAAAGCCCGGGGCUCAACCGCGGGACUGCAUUGGAAACUGCGUCGCUGGAGUACGGGAGGGGCAGGCGGAAUUCCUGGUGUAGCGGUGAAAUGCGUAGAUAUCAGGAGGAACACCGGCGGCGAAGGCGGCCUGCUGGACCGUGACUGACGUUGAGGCUCGAGAGCGUGGGGAGCAAACAGGAUUAGAUACCCCAGUA
This 447-nucleotide ribosomal RNA is filed under the name uncultured bacterium. Its description in RNAcentral is "bacterial SSU rRNA". It matches the Rfam family "Bacterial small subunit ribosomal RNA", at positions 329 to 792 of the family's 1533-position model. The record is from RNAcentral.